GUGAGGAAUAUUGCGCAAUGGAGGCAACUCUGACGCAGCCAUGCCGCGUGCAGGAAGAAGGCGCUACGCGUUGUAAACUGCUUUUAACCGGGAAGAAACCCCACGACGUGUCCUGGGUUGACGGUACCGGAGGAAUAAGCACCGGCUAACUUCGUGCCAGCAGCCGCGGUAAUACGAAGGGUGCAAGCGUUAUCCGGAUUCAUUGGGUUUAAAGGGUGCGUAGGCGGAGCGUUAAGUCAGUGGUGAAAUCCUGCAGCUUAACUGUAGACUUGCCAUUGAUACUGGCGCUCUUGAGUGCGCUUGAAGUGGGCGGAAUGUGCCGUGUAGCGGUGAAAUGCUUAGAUAUGGCACAGAACACCAAUUGCGAAGGCAGCUCACUAAGGCGAUACUGACGCUGAGGCACGAAAGCGUGGGGAUCGAACAGGAUUAGAUACCCUGGUAGUCC
This 445-nucleotide ribosomal RNA is filed under the name uncultured bacterium. Its description in RNAcentral is "partial 16S ribosomal RNA". It matches the Rfam family "Bacterial small subunit ribosomal RNA", at positions 354 to 796 of the family's 1533-position model. The record is from RNAcentral.